GACGAACGCUGGCGGCGUGCUUAACACAUGCAAGUCGAACGGUAAGGCCCUUCGGGGUACACGAGUGGCGAACGGGUGAGUAACACGUGGGUGAUCUGCCCUGCACUUCGGGAUAAGCCGGGGAAACUGGGUCUAAUACCGGAUAGGACCCUGGGAUGCAUGUCCUGGGGUGGAAAGCUUUUGCGGUGUGGGAUGGGCCCGCGGCCUAUCAGCUUGUUGGUGGGGUGAUGGCCUACCAAGGCGACGACGGGUAGCCGGCCUGAGAGAGUGACCGGCCACACGGGGACUGAGAUACGGCCCAGACUCCUACGGGAGGCAGCAGUGGGGAAUAUUGCACAAUGGGCGCAAGCCUGAUGCAGCGACGCCGCGUGAGGGAUGACGACCUUCGGGUUGUAAACCUCUUUCAGUAGGGACGAAGCGCAAGUGACGGUACCUACAGAAGAAGGACCGGCCAACUACGUGCCAGCCGCCGCGGUAA
This 478-nucleotide ribosomal RNA is filed under the name uncultured bacterium. RNAcentral's name for it is "partial 16S ribosomal RNA". It matches the Rfam family "Bacterial small subunit ribosomal RNA", at positions 28 to 523 of the family's 1533-position model. The record is from RNAcentral.